GGGAUUGUAGUUCAGUGGUAGAGCAUCUGCUUAGCAUGCAGAAGGUCCCAGGUUCGAUCCCCAGCAUCUCCA
Non-coding RNA from Elgaria multicarinata webbii, 72 nucleotides. Lineage: Eukaryota; Metazoa; Chordata; Lepidosauria; Squamata; Anguidae. The record is from the annotation of a RefSeq genome assembly.